RNAcentral lists this ribosomal RNA (425 nucleotides) under uncultured bacterium. RNAcentral's name for it is "partial 16S ribosomal RNA". It matches the Rfam family "Bacterial small subunit ribosomal RNA", at positions 354 to 796 of the family's 1533-position model. The record is from RNAcentral.
GUGGGGAAUCUUGCGCAAUGGGCGAAAGCCUGACGCAGCCAUGCCGCGUGAAUGAUGAAGGUCUUAGGAUUGUAAAAUUCUUUCACCGGGGACGAUAAUGACGGUACCCGGAGAAGAAGCCCCGGCUAACUUCGUGCCAGCAGCCGCGGUAAUACGAAGGGGGCUAGCGUUGCUCGGAAUUACUGGGCGUAAAGGGCGCGUAGGCGGACAGUUUAGUCAGAGGUGAAAGCCCAGGGCUCAACCUUGGAAUUGCCUUUGAUACUGGCUGUCUUGAGUACGGGAGAGGUGAGUGGAACUCCGAGUGUAGAGGUGAAAUUCGUAGAUAUUCGGAAGAACACCAGUGGCGAAGGCGACAUACUGGCUCAUUACUGACGCUGAGGCGCGAAAGCGUGGGGAGCAAACAGGAUUAGAUACCCUGGUAGUCC